UCGAGCGAGCGGAACUAACAGAUUUACUUCGGUAAUGACGUUAGGAAAGCGAGCGGCGGAUGGGUGAGUAACACGUGGGGAAUCUGCCCCAUAGUCUGGGAUACCACUUGGAAACAGGUGCUAAUACCGGAUAAGAAAGCAGAUCGCAUGAUCAGCUUUUAAAAGGCGGCGUAGGCUGUCGCUAUGGGAUGGCCCCGCGGUGCAUUAGCUAGUUGGUAAGGUAAAGGCUUACCAAGGCGAUGAUGCAUAGCCGAGUUGAGAGACUGAUCGGCCACAUUGGGACUGAGACACGGCCCAAACUCCUACGGGAGGCAGCAGUAGGGAAUCUUCCACAAUGGACGCAAGUCUGAUGGAGCAACGCCGCGUGAGUGAAGAAGGUUUUCGGAUCGUAAAGCUCUGUUGUUGGUGAAGAAGGAUAGAGGUAGUAACUGGCCUUUAUUUGACGGUAAUCAACCAGAAAGUCACGGCUAACUACGUGCCAGCAGCCGCGGUAAUACGUAGGUGGCAAGCGUUGUCCGGAUUUAUUGGGCGUAAAGCGAGCGCAGGCGGAAGAAUAAGUCUGAUGUGAAAGCCCUCGGCUUAACCGAGGAACUGCAUCGGAAACUGUUUUUCUUGAGUGCAGAAGAGGAGAGUGGAACUCCAUGUGUAGCGGUGGAAUGCGUAGAUAUAUGGAAGAACACCAGUGGCGAAGGCGGCUCUCUGGUCUGCAACUGACGCUGAGGCUCGAAAGCAUGGGUAGCGAACAGGAUUAGAUACCCUGGUAGUCCAUGCCGUANACGAUGAGUGCUAAGUGUUGGGAGGUUUCCGCCUCUCAGUGCUGCAGCUAACGCAUUAAGC
RNAcentral lists this ribosomal RNA (837 nucleotides) under uncultured bacterium. RNAcentral's name for it is "bacterial SSU rRNA". It matches the Rfam family "Bacterial small subunit ribosomal RNA", at positions 62 to 865 of the family's 1533-position model. The record is from RNAcentral.